AUGCGAGCCGAAGUGAAGAACUUCUUUGAAGGGGUGAAAGCAAAGAAACAUCCACCUCUGGAGGAGAAGGUAGAUCCAGCGAAUGCAAAGCGCACUCUGGCUGCCCUGACAAAACCACCAAAGUCUCCGCCGAGAGGCAACUAUGAGCGCGUUCUUGCAAAGACAUAUGUCGAAAUGGAGCGGUCGGGAAGUACUGUCAGUGAUAAAAGGAUGAAAGAACGACGAGCUGGGAAAAAAAUUGCCCAGCUCGGCGAACAAGUGAACCAAUCGUGCCCCCCGCUCAAGGUGUCAAAAGACAUCGUCGCUAAUGAUCCGAGUAUGGUGCCCGGUUAUAGCAAUCUUGGAGAUUACCUGCCCGACGAUGUACAUUAUGAAAUCAUGGAGGUGGACGAACACAAAUACCAUUACGGGAAGCCUCUCGUCAAAGAUGUCAGAUCUCUAAGCACGAUGAUGCGAAGACUACAUGAUUGGUACAUGAAAACCUGCAGAGAGUCUGAUGGGAUGAGUACUUUGACGCUGAGAGUUAAACCGGAGCAUGACCUCGUUGGAAUUGAACUGCUGAAUGUUCCAUUUGAGGAUUUGUUCCAGUUUUACAAUCAAAAGGCCCUCGAUAAAACAACGAUCACUUGCUACUGUCUGUAA
Molecule: ribosomal RNA, 642 nt
Filed under: Triticum aestivum (bread wheat)
Lineage: Eukaryota; Viridiplantae; Streptophyta; Magnoliopsida; Poales; Poaceae
Description: partial small subunit ribosomal RNA
Source: RNAcentral